UACGGAGGGGACUAGCGUUGUUCGGAAUUACUGGGCGUAAAGCGCACGUAGGCGGAUUUGUAAGUCAGGGGUGAAAUCCCGGGGCUCAACCUCGGAACUGCCUUUGAUACUGCAAAUCUCGAGUCCGGAAGAGGUGAGUGGAAUUCCUAGUGUAGAGGAGAAAUUCGUAGAUAUUAGGAAGAACACCAGUGGCGAAGGCGGCUCACUGGUCCGGUACUGACGCUGAGGUGCGAAAGCGUGGGGAGCAAACAGG
Molecule: ribosomal RNA, 253 nt
Filed under: uncultured bacterium
Lineage: Bacteria
Description: partial 16S ribosomal RNA
Rfam family: Bacterial small subunit ribosomal RNA
Source: RNAcentral